RNAcentral lists this ribosomal RNA (461 nucleotides) under uncultured bacterium. RNAcentral describes it as "partial 16S ribosomal RNA". It matches the Rfam family "Bacterial small subunit ribosomal RNA", at positions 338 to 795 of the family's 1533-position model. The record is from RNAcentral.
CCUACGGGUGGCUGCAGUGAGGAAUAUUGGUCAAUGGGCGGGAGCCUGAACCAGCCAAGUCGCGUGAGGGAAGACGGUCCUAUGGAUUGUAAACCUCUUUAGGCGGGGAGCAAUGCCGGGCACGCGUGCCCGGAGGGAGAGUACCCGCAGAAUAAGCCCCGGCUAACUACGUGCCAGCAGCCGCGGUAAUACGUAGGGGGCAAGCGUUAUCCGGAUUUACUGGGUGUAAAGGGAGCGUAGACGGCAGCGCAAGUCUGGAGUGAAAUCCCAUGGCUUAACCAUGGAACUGCUUUGGAAACUGUGCAGCUGGAGUGCAGGAGAGGUAAGCGGAAUUCCUAGUGUAGCGGUGAAAUGCGUAGAUAUUAGGAGGAACACCAGUGGCGAAGGCGGCUUACUGGACUGUAACUGACGUUGAGGCUCGAAAGCGUGGGGAGCAAACAGGAUUAGAUACCCCGGUAGUC